ACAAAAUCUGUGUUGACUUGAAGGAAUCACGCCAUUAUUCCUGAGAAGUAACUGCGUGUGCUGGAGACAUUUGAGGCAGGGUUGCACUAUCGCUUCUCGUGAGAGAGGCUGCUUAGCCCUUCCCGAUGCUGUACAGUCCUCCUACCGUAUUUCCCUCCUUGCUGUUGUAGUAGAGACACUCCAAUGAAGCUUGGCGCCGAGUGGUUGGAAGCUGCAGAAAGCGGGCCUGCGCAGUCUCCUGCGUGUGCGAGUUUGCUAAUGGCAGCUGAACACACGGCUUUUGUUGUAACCGCACCAGUUCUGAAGGCACUUUAUGUACCACAUGGAGGUCAUACCUGGCUUUGUUUUUAAUCAUAGCACUGAGUGUGAUUUCUUCUCUCGGCACACGCCUUUCCGGUGCAAUAUCUAUCGGUUGUGAAUCUGGCUGCUGGUGUCUACACCCUGGCUGUAAAGCUGAGCCUAGAGACCUGCCCUCACCAAGCGUUUUGUGAUUUCUACUCCACUGCAAAGAUUACUAGACACUUAAUCUAACCGGGUUUUGUUCCCGAUGACCUGUUGCAUGCUUCCAUACCAUGUUCUGCCCAAGCUGUGUCCGUCACGUGCUAGAUUAAAAGGGCAGAGAGACUUGAUUUGACGCCCUGACAUCUGGCUCUCCAGCUGACCCUGCUGGGGGUGGAGAGUUCUGCAGGAUUCAGGUUCUUGGCCACUCUUGAGUCCUUGUUGCAGAAUUGUGUUUUGAGAGAAUGCCUGAGGCAGGGCAAGGGGGUCUAGCAAACCCUUCUGUCCUUCUUAACCUGUGUUGUCCUAAACCCUGUGGCGGCUGUCCAGGGAAACUGGAUAUAUUGCUUGCCAGUCGUAGAUGAGACCAAAAGAAUUGUGGUUUCAGGGCCUCCACUUAGGAUCUUCCAGGUGGCUUGUGGGAAGCCACGAAUGUUUGAGGUUGAGUUGGGGCUACAGAGCCCUUGGCAUCUAAAAGAAGGUGGAGUUCUACAGAGCUGAGGGUUCCCUUCUCACGUUGAUUUUUAAAAAUCCAAUAGUGAUCAGAAAACCUAGAUAUUGAGUAAUUAGGGGAAAAAAACCAUAUUGCUCAUUAUUUUCACCUCUUGGUGGGAAUUUCUCCCUUCAGUUGAUGUAACAAGUGUCUUCUUCUCUUAGCCCCU
Molecule: long non-coding RNA, 1160 nt
Filed under: Bos grunniens (domestic yak)
Lineage: Eukaryota; Metazoa; Chordata; Mammalia; Artiodactyla; Bovidae
Description: lncRNA (ENSBGRG00000014311.1)
Source: RNAcentral